UGUAAGUCGAGUGCGCGAUAACCAAUAAAUACGGAAAUGGCGCACGGCGCACGGGUGCGUAACACGUGGGUAAUCUGCCCUCUGAUGGGGAAUAACCCGCCGAAAGGCGGGCUAAUACCGCAUAACAUUCCUUGGACUCCGGUUCGAGGAUUCAAAGGCGUAAGUCGUCGGAGGUGGAGCCCGCGCACGAUUAGCUAGUUGGUGAGGUAAUGGCUCACCAAGGCUUUGAUCGUUAGCUGGUCUGAGAGGAUGGCCAGCCACACUGGAACUGAGACACGGUCCAGACUCCUACGGGAGGCAGCAGUGGGGAAUCUUGCACAAUGGGCGAAAGCCUGAUGCAGCGACGCCGCGUGGGGGAUGAAGCUUCUCGGAGUGUAAACCCCUUUCGACCGGGACGAAUACCUCGCAAGAGGGGUGACGGUACCGGUAUAAGAAGCCCCGGCUAACUACGUGCCAGCAGCCGCGGUAAGACGUAGGGGGCCAGCGUUGCUCGGAAUUACUGGGUGUAAAGGGUUCGUAGGCGGUGUGGCAAGUCGGGAGUGAAAUCUCUGGGCUCAACCCAGGGGCUGCUUCCGAAACUGCCGUGCUAGAGUGUGGGAGAGGCGCGUGGAAUUGCAGGUGUAGCGGUGAAAUGCGUAGAUAUCUGCAGGAACACCCGUGGCGAAAGCGGCGCGCUGGACCACUACUGACGCUGAGGAACGAAAGCUAGGGGAGCAAACAGGAUUAGAUACACUGGUAGUCCUAGCCCUAAACGAUCAGGACUUGGGGUGCCACCCGUUCGGGUGUCGUCCCGGAGCUAACGCGUUAAGUCCUGCACCUGGGGAGUACGGUCGCAAGACUGAAACUCAAAGGAAUUGACGGGGGGCCCGCACAAGCGGUGGAAACAUGUGGUUCAAUUCGACGCUACGCGAGGAACCUUACCUGGGGCUCGAA
RNAcentral lists this ribosomal RNA (933 nucleotides) under uncultured soil bacterium. RNAcentral's name for it is "bacterial SSU rRNA". It matches the Rfam family "Bacterial small subunit ribosomal RNA", at positions 56 to 985 of the family's 1533-position model. The record is from RNAcentral.